RNAcentral lists this long non-coding RNA (364 nucleotides) under Brassica napus (rape). RNAcentral describes it as "long non-coding RNA (BNAP_LNC005742)". Lineage: Eukaryota; Viridiplantae; Streptophyta; Magnoliopsida; Brassicales; Brassicaceae. The record is from RNAcentral.
UAACACAAAAAUAUAUACAAAUCAUAAUUUUUAUUUCAAAUUAAUUCUAAUAUUUAAAAUUUUAUACAAGAAAAAUAUUAUGACAUUAUCACUAAGAAAAAAAUAAUUCUAAUCGUAUUUAUUUACUUAUUUUUCAUUUUUCUGUCAAAACCGAACUAUUUUUUUUUAAUCAAAAUUGCACUACCUUUUUAUAUCAAAUCCACACUUAUCCUGCAAAUCACAUGAACUGAAGUUUUACCGUACCGGAAUCCAAUUCCGAACCGCUUAUAUUAUCAUUUGGACUCAUUAUAGUGGUUUAGUGUUAACUGAUUAUACACACCAAAGCCAAGUAUACAACGGUUCAUCAUAAUUUUUUUUGCUGUUU